CAAGUGCUAUUUUUAAGGUUUUUGCUAUUUUCCAAGAAAGGUAACUCUGUCGGCCUUAUUUGAUUUUAAUCUUAACUUUGUGUGAUUAUGUCCCCUUGACAACAUUGGCUAUUUGCUCAACCAUAACGUUUCCCUCCUAAAGUUAGGGUCACUUGAGGUCAUUCUUUGUGUUAAAGAAGUUGUUGGUCAUUGUGACAUGCAGAUGUGUUGAUUUUAUAUUAUUAAUAAGGAUUUGGAUUGAGGAAUCGGUAUUUUUUACAGCAUAAUUAACCGCACAGUAAGACAGGUGUGAGUGACAGAGAUACAUGUAUAUUUACAGAGUCUGAUCCACAAUUGGACUUGGUAGAUGUGAUGUAGAUGUGAUGUAGAUGUGAUGUAGAUGUGAUGUAACUGUGAUGUGUAUGUUGUAUGAUGUAUGACAUAUGAUGUUUGAUGUUGAGAUGUACCGAAUUGGAAUUAUAUAUAAAGCUAGUGUCCACUACAAAUUAAAUUGAUGAACCAGUAACCCUCAGUUUGUUCUUUACUUAUACAAGGCAAAAAGACAUCGGGGUCACA
Molecule: long non-coding RNA, 555 nt
Organism: Ruditapes philippinarum (Manila clam)
Lineage: Eukaryota; Metazoa; Mollusca; Bivalvia; Venerida; Veneridae
Exons: 3
Source: RefSeq, a predicted model, not a curated record